Oryza sativa Japonica Group (Japanese rice) is the source of this 2810-nucleotide RNA transcript. It is a transcript of the gene named probable LRR receptor-like serine/threonine-protein kinase At3g47570, with no coding region annotated. The record is from RefSeq and is a predicted model, not a curated record. NCBI's taxonomy places the organism in Eukaryota, Viridiplantae, Streptophyta, Magnoliopsida, Poales, Poaceae.
AUAUUAGUUUGUGUGUGCGCUAAGUAAUCGCCCAGUUAGGCGGUCAUCUCUGGUGCUUGUUGCGCGGCCUCUUCCGUCCACGCAAUAUCUGCGGUUGUUGCUGGAUCCGCCGGUGCUUGCAAAUAUUUUGCAAAUUUCUGCUGACCUGUAACAAAUCAAGCAAUUCUUGAGAGGGAAAAGGUGGAGCUGGAUAAUUCUUCCACCAGAGGUAGCUGGUCAUGAAGAUUGCUGCAACUGGACAGUUUCUCUUGGUCCUUAUGGCAUGCAGUGUAAUCCAAAUCGUGUGCCAAUCGUUACAUGGAAAUGAGACAGAUCGACUUUCGCUGCUUGAUUUCAAGAAUGCAAUCAUUUUGGAUCCACAGCAAGCAUUAGUGUCCUGGAAUGACAGCAAUCAAGUAUGCAGUUGGGAAGGUGUCUUUUGUAGGGUGAAGGCCCCAAACCAUGUUGUUGCACUUAACCUUACAAAUCGAGACCUAGUAGGGACAAUAUCCCCUUCACUUGGAAACCUAACAUUCCUCAAACAUCUAAACCUAACAGGAAAUGCUUUCACUGGACAGAUCCCUGCAUCCCUUGCCCACUUGCACCGUCUCCAAACCCUCUCCUUGGCCAGUAACACCUUACAGGGAAGGAUACCAAACCUUGCAAAUUAUUCUGAUCUCAUGGUGCUAGAUCUGUAUAGAAACAAUCUAGCUGGGAAAUUUCCUGCAGAUUUACCUCAUAGCCUAGAAAAGCUGAGACUUUCAUUUAAUAAUAUCAUGGGAACCAUACCUGCUUCUCUUGCCAACAUCACAAGGCUAAAAUACUUUGCUUGUGUUAACACUAGUAUUGAGGGCAACAUCCCAGAUGAGUUUUCAAAGUUGUCUGCGCUGAAGUUCUUGCAUUUGGGUAUCAAUAAGCUAACAGGUAGCUUUCCAGAAGCCGUCCUGAAUAUUUCUGCUCUAACUGAACUUAGCUUCGCUAUUAAUGAUCUUCAUGGAGAGGUGCCACCAGACCUGGGUAACUCCCUGCCCAAUCUCCAAGCAUUUGAAUUAGGCGGCAACCACUUUAAUGGGAAAAUCCCAUCAUCAAUAACAAAUGCUUCUAACCUAUACCUUAUCGAUGUAUCAAACAAUAAUUUCAGCGGGGGAUUGGCUAGCUCAAUCGGCAAACUUACUAAACUGUCUUGGUUAAAUCUUGAGGAAAAUAAACUCCAUGGACGUAACAAUGAAGACCAGGAGUUUCUCAGGAGGCAUUCCUACAUCGUUAGGCAAGUUACUCAGCCUGACUUUGCUUAAUCUGUCUUACAACAACUUAACAGGACCAAUACCAGAUUCUCUUAGCAAUUUGAAGUAUCUUGGGCAGCUUGAUUUUUCAUUCAACCAUCUUAAUGGUGAGGUCCCAACAAAAGGAAUAUUCAAGAAUGCAACUGCCAUUCAACUUGGUGGCAAUCAGGGGUUAUGUGGUGGGGUGCUAGAGUUACACCUACCUGCAUGCUCCAUUGCACCUUUAAGUUCAAGAAAGCAUGUCAAAUCAUUGACAAUCAAAAUAGUGAUACCAUUGGCCAUCUUGGUAUCACUCUUUUUGGUUGUAUUGGUCUUACUGCUCUUGAGGGGAAAACAAAAGGGACACUCUAUAUCUUUGCCACUGUCUGAUACAGAUUUUCCCAAAGUUUCUUACAAUGAUCUUGCAAGAGCAACUGAGAGGUUCUCCAUGUCCAAUUUGAUUGGCAAGGGGAGGUUCAGUUGUGUAUAUCAAGGAAAACUAUUUCAAUGCAAUGAUGUGGUUGCUGUGAAGGUAUUCAGCCUAGAGACAAGGGGCGCACAAAAAAGCUUUAUUGCAGAAUGUAAUGCUUUAAGAAAUGUGAGACACCGUAAUCUAGUUCCUAUCCUAACUGCAUGCUCCAGUAUUGAUUCUAAAGGCAAUGACUUCAAAGCUUUAGUGUAUAAGUUUAUGCCAGGUGGGGAUUUACAUAAAUUACUAUACUCAAACGGAGGUGAUGGAGAUGCUCCACAUCAAAACCACAUUACAUUGGCUCAGAGAAUAAACAUUAUGGUGGAUGUAUCAGAUGCACUGGAGUACCUGCACCAUAGCAACCAAGGAACAAUUGUUCACUGUGACCUGAAGCCUAGCAACAUCCUUCUAGAUGAUAACAUGGUUGCUCAUGUUGGAGACUUUGGCCUUGCAAGAUUCAAAUUUGAUUCGACAACAUCAUCUCUAAGUUAUUUGAACUCAACCUCCUCCCUUGUAAUAAAGGGAACCAUUGGUUAUAUUGCUCCAGAAUGCUCGGAUGGUGGUCAAGUUUCAACUGCCUCAGAUGUAUACAGCUUUGGAGUUGUUCUCUUGGAAAUAUUUAUUCGGAGAAGGCCAACAGACGAUAUGUUUAUGGAUGGAUUGAGCAUUGCAAAGUAUACAGCUAUCAACUUCCCUGACAGGAUACUUGAGAUUGUUGAUCCCAAGCUGCAACAAGAAUUGAUCCCCUGUUCUACAGAUAAGGAAGAUUUGGACCCCUGCCAGGAAAAUCCAAUAGCAGUUGAGGAGAAAGGCCUACAUUGUCUACGCUCUAUGCUAAACAUUGGACUCUGCUGCACCAAGCCAACACCGGGAGAACGCAUCAGCAUGCAAGAGGUGGCUGCCAAGUUGCACAGAAUCAAAGAUGCAUAUCUCAGGGAAUACUAGGGAUCUCUCGUAGCAUCGUGUGCAUCAUCUGUUUAAGUAGUUCGGUACAACAUUGGGUAAAGAAGUGGCCAUUGUCCUACUAGAAUGUGCUGUUCCUUGUUACAACGCGCGGCAAGAUGUUUCUGCUCUAAUAUACUGUUUGAUUUGUUUUUCCU